UUAUUAAAUUUUUUGUUUAACAAGACUUUUAAUAUAUUUGAGUUUAAACCUUUGGUAGGUACACGCCCGUUUUCACCGACGGUGACCUAAAUCAACGUCCUACCAAAGCAAUAGGUAUAACAGCAAAGUGUGAGAGUAUCGUGCAAAGCACAACCUCGAUAAUGAUCCUUCCGCAGGUUCACCUACGGAAA
This 191-nucleotide unclassified non-coding RNA is filed under the name uncultured fungus. RNAcentral's name for it is "sequence contains ITS1". Lineage: Eukaryota; Fungi. The record is from RNAcentral.